CUCCAGUGCUUCUCUGUGAGAAGUAUUGAUUGGACGAUGCCUUCUCGCGGACGUUGCAGGUGAGGGAGAGGUAAGCAGCACCGACGGAGUCUCGAUGCUAAUUUUCCUUUUUGAGGGGCUGCACAUGCAUCCAAUUCUUCUUACAGGAUAGGAGCACUAUAGAGUCAGGAACACAGGCUUGCAUGACUAAUGCUGCAGUGUUCCUUUAAUUAUUUCACAAGUCCAAUAUCGGAAUAAAGGAUCAAACAUUGUAAGAAACUUGUAAUAUUUAUAACAACU
Non-coding RNA from Pelobates cultripes (western spadefoot toad), 279 nucleotides. NCBI's taxonomy places the organism in Eukaryota, Metazoa, Chordata, Amphibia, Anura, Pelobatidae. The record is from the annotation of a GenBank genome assembly.